UACGGAGGGUGCAAGCGUUAUCCGGAUUCACUGGGUUUAAAGGGUGCGUAGGCGGGUAGGUAAGUCAGUGGUGAAAUCUCGAAGCUUAACUUCGAAACUGCCAUUGAUACUAUUUAUCUUGAAUAUUGUGGAGGUUUGCGGAAUAUGUCAUGUAGCGGUGAAAUGCAUAGAUAUGACAUAGAACACCUAUUGCGAAGGCAGCAGGCUACACAUAUAUUGACGCUGAGGCACGAAAGCGUGGGGAUCAAACAGG
This 253-nucleotide ribosomal RNA is filed under the name uncultured bacterium. RNAcentral's name for it is "partial 16S ribosomal RNA". It matches the Rfam family "Bacterial small subunit ribosomal RNA", at positions 524 to 776 of the family's 1533-position model. The record is from RNAcentral.